RNAcentral lists this ribosomal RNA (268 nucleotides) under uncultured soil bacterium. Its description in RNAcentral is "partial 16S ribosomal RNA". It matches the Rfam family "Bacterial small subunit ribosomal RNA", at positions 26 to 280 of the family's 1533-position model. The record is from RNAcentral.
AGGACGAACGCUGGCGGCGUGGAUAAGACAUGCAAGUCGAACGGGAUUACUUUUGUAGCAAUACAGAAGUAAUUCAGUGGCGAACGGGUGCGUAACACGUGGGCAAUCUGCCGAAAAGUGGGGGAUAGCUCGCCGAAAGGCGAAUUAAUACCGCAUGUGGUGAGGGACGACAUCUUCCUGAAUCCAAAGCCGGGGCAACCUGGCGCUUUUUGAGGAGCCCGCGGCCUAUCAGCUUGUUGGUGAGGUAACGGCUCACCAAGGCUUUGGA